UUGAACGCUGGCGGCAGGCCUAACACCUGCAAGUCGAACGGUAACAGGGAUCAGCUUGCUGAUUCGCUGACGAGUGGCGGACGGGUGAGUAAUGUCUGGGAAACUGCCUGAUGGAGGGGGAUAACUACUGGAAACGGUAGCUAAUACCGCAUAACGUCGCAAGACCAAAGAGGGGGACCUUCGGGCCUCUUGCCAUCGGAUGUGCCCAGAUGGGAUUAGCUAGUAGGUGGGGUAACGGCUCACCUAGGCGACGAUCCCUAGCUGGUCUGAGAGGAUGACCAGCCACACUGGAACUGAGACACGGUCCAGACUCCUACGGGAGGCAGCAGUGGGGAAUAUUGCACAAUGGGCGCAAGCCUGAUGCAGCCAUGCCGCGUGUAUGAAGAAGGCCUUCGGGUUGUAAAGUACUUUCAGCGGGGAGGAAGGGAGUAAAGUUAAUACCUUUGCUCAUUGACGUUACCCGCAGAAGAAGCACCGGCUAACUCCGUG
This 489-nucleotide ribosomal RNA is filed under the name uncultured bacterium. Its description in RNAcentral is "partial 16S ribosomal RNA". It matches the Rfam family "Bacterial small subunit ribosomal RNA", at positions 30 to 507 of the family's 1533-position model. The record is from RNAcentral.